RNAcentral lists this transfer RNA (72 nucleotides) under Stachybotrys chartarum IBT 7711. Its description in RNAcentral is "tRNA-Ala (CGC) (tRNA-Ala-CGC-1-1)". It matches the Rfam family "tRNA". Rfam says of the family: Transfer RNA (tRNA) molecules are approximately 80 nucleotides in length. Lineage: Eukaryota; Fungi; Ascomycota; Sordariomycetes; Hypocreales; Stachybotryaceae. The record is from RNAcentral. RNAcentral also lists the same sequence under 3 other names.
GGGCGUGUGGUCUAGUGGUAUGACGUCGGCUUCGCAUGCUGAAGGUCCGGAGUUCGAUUCUCCGUUCGUCCA